This 8164-nucleotide long non-coding RNA is filed under the name Lotus japonicus. Its description in RNAcentral is "long non-coding RNA (LJAP_LNC001057)". The record is from RNAcentral. Lineage: Eukaryota; Viridiplantae; Streptophyta; Magnoliopsida; Fabales; Fabaceae.
AGGAAUUGGCGCCUGAGCGCUCCUGAUUGAGCGCCUGAGCGCCAAUUACCUCCAGAGAGCUUGUUUUGGCUUGGAAUUGGCGCUCAGGCGUGCUUAAUUGGCGCCUGAGCGCCCAGACUCGACCUGUUUGCCUAUAAAUAGGCUUUUUGUCAUUUCUUUUGUAACUUUUGUCAUUUCUAUACAUUCCUAAAUAAGUUAGAAGUAGGGUUAGGCUCUGGAGCUUGAGGAGAAGCAUUCUCCAAGUCCAUGUUCCAGGUUUUAUCCUUCUUUUCUUGUAUGGAUUCUAUAGCCAUGCUUGGCUAAAACCCCUUUUGUUUUGGGUUCUUUGUAAGACUUUGGAUGUUUUAGCUUUCAUUCCUUUUCUAUUCAUGUUGUUCUGAGUAAACCCUUGAAUCUCACUCCUAUGCUUUAUCUCUCAAGCUUGAAUGCAUGCUAGCUUUUUACUUUUCUAUAAUCAUAACGAUAGUUUGUUAUAGAAUUGGGACUUGUUGUGAGAUUACCUCUUCUAUACUUGCUGCUAGGAAUAGAGGAAGGGUUGAGGUUUGUUGGCCUGAAUUGCAUGCUUAGUGCUUCUAACAAAUGUUUAGGUUAUCAAGGAAUUGAGUCUAUCUUUUGAUUAGAAAGGGUUUUCUUUACGAGGCAUCGAUAGAUGACUAUCUAGGCUAGAACAUCAAGGAGAGACUCAGGAUUAGUUGAAUAGGAAGGUUUGCUAAAACUGAAUUUGUUGAGCAAGAACCCAAGGCAAUCUCAUUUCUGAAUUUCAAUCGCUUUAUUACUUGACCACUUGUCUUUUUACAAACUCAAGAAACAACCAAUCAUUAAAACUGAAUUUUACUCGCUUUCUUACCGUGAACUCGAGGCUUAAACUGAAUUCACAUUCCAAUUCCCUGUGGUUCGAUAAAUUAAAACCGGGUAGAUUCUGUACACUUGCAGAAGAACCAACAAGUUUUUGGCGCCGUUGCCGGGGAAUUGUUUGUGGUUUUUGGUUUAAGUUUUUAGUUUGUGGUUUUAUUUUUGUUUUGAACUUGUCUAGAAUUGGUGCUACUAAUCUUUCUCUGUUUAGUAUCAAACUUUCAGGCUACUCUCACAAGAGACACCACCAUGGGUGGCCAAAUGACGGAGGAGGAGAUGCAAGCCCAUAUCGAGGCAAGAAUCCAAGAGGGGAUCACCCUCCGAUUAUGUGAACAAGAAGUUGAGAAUGCCAACCGGUCUCUUCGGGAACUCACUUCAGCUACUAUGAGUUAUGACUAUCCCGGGAGCAUUGUCUUUCCCGAGGGAGUGGGAAACUUUAAGUUUAGACCGGCAUUCAUCAACUUGGUGAGCCAAAACCAAUAUGGUGGAGGUACUUUGGAAGAUCCAUAUGCUCACAUGGAGAGGUUCAUCCGGAAUUGCAACACUUACCGUGUGAACAAUGUUCCGACGGAUGCAAUUCGGUUGAGCUUGUUUCCAUUUUCUUUGAAGGAUGCAGCGGAGGAAUGGCUGAAUUCAAAACCUCAAGGGAGUAUCACUACUUGGGAAGACCUAGCAGAAAAAUUCACAACAAGGUUCUUCCCAAGAGCUCUUUUGAGGAAGCUGAAAAAAGACAUUAUGAAUUUUGUGCAAACCAUUGAGGAAAAUCUCUAUGAAGCUUGGGAGCGCUUCAAGAAGCUAUUGAGGAAAUGUCCUCAACACAAUCUCACCCAAGCUGAAUUGGUUGCAACAUUUUAUGAUGGUCUACAAUACUCUUGGAGGUUUGGCCUAGAUGCGGCUUCAAAUGGGGAGUUCGAUGCUCUUCCCCCACAAGCGGGGUAUGACUUAAUAGAAAAGAUGGCAGCGAGAGCCAUGAACUCUGAAAAUGAUCGCCAAACCCGAAGGAGUAAGUUUGAAGUGGAAGCUUAUGACAAGCUCUUGGCCUCCAACAAGCAACUCACCGAACAAGUGGCGAAGAUUCGAAUGCAUAUUAAGGAGACCAAGGCUGUUGGUGCAAGAAUGACUUGUGUGGAGUGCAAGUCUUGUGGUGGACCUCAUGUUAGUAACUUGUGUACUGUCAAUGCUGAGAGCAAUGAAGCCAAAGCUAUAGCUCAAGGAAGCAUAGUUCCAUCCUCAAAUCAUAAACCUCUUGUCCAAACACAAGUUGUUGGAAAGGUGAAUUGCAAGAGGAGUUUAGAAGAGCUAUUGGAGAGUUGCAUCAACCGCAUGAACAACAACCAUAAGAACCAAGAGGCGGCUAUCAAGAACUUGGAGAACCAACUUGGCCAGCUAGCCAAGCAAAUGGCCGAGAUACCUCAAGGUAAGUUUUCUCCCGAUUCUUUAACUUUGUCUAAACAAGAGAAUUUUGCUGUUGUUACCACUAGGAGUGGGAGAGUGUUACACGAGUCAAAAAAACAAGAUGAGGGAGAGAAAAAUGAGAAAGUACAGGAAGAAUAUAAGGGUGCUACGGAGAAGAGAUUGAGUGAACCUGUGAAAGCUAGAGUUGUGAGCACUCCUUCUCCUGAACUUAGUAAGAUUCCAUUCCCUAAGGCUUUGGUCAAGAAAAAUCUGGAUAAACAGUUUUCUAAGUUUAUGGAAGUUUUUAAGAAACUCCACAUCAAUGUUCCUUUUUCUGAAGCCUUGGAGCAAAUGCCUAUCUAUGCUAAGUUCAUGAAGGACAUUUUAAAUAAGAGGAGGAAGUUGAGUGAGGUUGAUGAAACUAUCAUGAUGACCGAGGAGUGUAGUGCCAUUUUGCAAAGAAAAAUGCCUAAGAAGAGAAGGGAUCCCGAGAGUUUUACUAUCCCAGUGGAGAUUGAGGGGUUAACUGUUGUUGAAGCCUUGUGUGAUUUGGGAGCGAGCAUCAACUUGAUGCCGCUUAGCAUGUUUAGAAGGCUGAACUUAGGAGAGGUCACCCCGACCAUGCUUUCCUUACAAAUGGCGGACCGAUCCCUAAAAACACCUUAUGGGAUCAUUGAAGAUGUUAUGGUGAAGGUGGAUAAGUAUGUGUUCCCUGUGGACUUUGUGGUGCUGGACAUGGAAGAGGAUGCAAAGAUUCCUCUCAUUCUAGGCCGACCCUUCUUAGCCACUGGCAGGGCGAAGAUCGAUGUUGAUAAGGGUCAGCUCAUUCUCAGAGUUGGUGAGGACAAGGUAAGAUUUUCGGUUUUCAAUCCUAAUUUGCAAACUAACAUUAAUGAUGGUUUUGUUUGUGAUAUGAUCAAAAGCUUGUCCAUGUCUUCAAAGGAGAACCCCAAGGUAAGUGAAAAAGAUGUUGAGCUUAAUAAAGCUCUCAUGAAGCUUGUUAGUGAAAACAAGUAUGGGGGGUCUAAAGAUGAGAAUUUUCAAGCCCACACGGCCCGAUUCACUCAAGCUAGUCACCUUGUAAAGAUGGAAGGUGUGACUAGUGAUGAGCUCAUGAUUAAGCUCUUCCCUCACUCCUUGAAGGGGGGAUCAAGGAUUUGGUACGAUGGUUUAGAUGAUACCCUCUAUUGGGAGGAGUUUUUCCAAAAAUUUUGUGCAAGGAUCCUACCUUGCUCUUGUGGUAAGAAGUGUGAUGGUAAGGAAUUUCCUUCCUAACACCAAAGGAAGGAGAGUCCACCUAGGACUAUAACUUAGGGCUGCUUGGGAGACAACCCAAGUCUUGUUUUAUUUCGCUUGUUGGUUUGUUGCAUUUUGCAGGGAAUGAGAGCAUGGAUUUUGGAGUAGGAGGUGUGUCUAAGGCCUCCAUGGUAACUUGCAAAGGAGGUCGACUCUUUCCCUUAGUUAAGCUCAUGCAUUUUUGCAUAUCUUUCUUUUGUAGCUUUUACUUUUCUUUUAUUCAUGCAUUGUAAGUUAGAGUCAUUUUUGGGUCUUUACAUCCCUAUACUCACAUGUUUUUUCCCGUAGUUAUGCUCUCUAACAUGUUGCUAGUUUUGAAAAUGUUUUUGUGAAUACUUGUGUUGUUUUUUGGGGAUGAGUGAUUGCAUGCUUUGGGGAAGAGAGGAGGAGACUUUGGUCUUCCGAUUGUUUCUUAAGGAUAGAGUUGGUGUGAGUCCAUAAGGGUCUAUCUUUGACCCUUCACCAUAAAAUUUCCCUGGAGGAUCCUGACUCACUCGUACUUCUUGGUUCUGUAUUGAUUUCACUCUUUGCAUGCUUUGUGAUUCUUGCACAAUUCUUGAGACUUGUAGGUUUUUGAGCUUCGGAGUUGUUGGUUUGAACAAUGUCCUUAGUUGUCCCAUUUGAGCCUUAUUGGAGAAUUUGUUGUAGCCAAGUGAUUGGGACGGAUGUUUGGUUGGAUUUUGGGGAGUGUUGGUCCUUGCAUUGUUUUGGAGCUAAGUAAAGUUGAAAGUGUCUCUUGCCCCAAGUGAAAAAUAUUGAAAAAGAAGAAAAAUAAAAAGAAAAGAACUCCUAAUCAAGUUGGAGUUGAAAAAAAGAAAAAAAUAGAAGAAAAGAAAGUUGAGAAAGGGGUCAAGAGACUGGUGUUUGUAAAGUUUGUUGAUGAAAGCUCCAGGGUUAUGUGAUUGGACCACACUCAAUAGUUUUGAAGCCUAGUCUUCCUUAGGGACCAACCACCUUGUACUUCACCAAGCCAACAUUUCAACCCUUUGAAAGUCUCUUUGAAUUUGUGCAUGUUUGAUCUUUGUUGCUCUUGAGUGAAUGAUAUCCAAAACCUAUGAACUGCUUGUGUGCUCAGUGCACUAAAUGUAUAUCUCAUCCUAGGAAUUUUAGAUCUAUAUGCUUCUCAUGAUGGACUCUACACUCUUCCAACGAGUUCGGAAAUUCGUAAACCCAAAACCCUUAGUGCUCUGGUUUCUCAACCGGAGCUCUGAUACCACAAUGUAACGCCCCGAUUUCUCGAGUGUUACACAGUAACUAAUUAACCAAUUUUCAUAAAGAGUUUUCGUCGAUUCACUUAUUAAUCUUGAAUUAAUGAUAAAAGUUCAAUUUUACAAAAUUCUCGAAACUUAACCAUUUCAAACUUGCGGAAAUAAUCAUCAACGUAAACCUCAAACUUUAUUAAUCAUUGAAAAGAGUAUGAAAUAAAUAUCCGGAAGAAAACUUCAAAGUAAAUUACAUCAAGUUAAACUAUCUCAACUAAAAUAAAGUAAUGGUUCAAUACUUCCAAAACUCGGUACUCUCAACCCAAAAGAAAAAUGGAUGUCUCACAACCCAACCAUAUCCUUGGCCCCUUCCUCUUUAUCUUCUUCCUCUUCAUCAGAAGUGUAGUCGUCAUCUGUAGUGGCUCGUCACGUAGCAUCAACUCCCAAGAAUGAGUCGUCGCCAUUUUCUUCACGACCAUCUACCCCCCCCAAAUAAACACAUAGCAAACAAGCAGGGUCAGGUCCAACAAAAGAAUGAUAAUGACAAAAUCAACAACAACAUAUAUAAUAUAAGUACAUUAUAUGUCUUUUAUGGGAAAGAGUCAGUUACUAACGGAAUCUCACUUCACACAACCCACCAAAACUUCCAUGGCCAUCUUCGUGCUUCCGCAGAGGCACGGUUAUCACGGUGACCGCAGUCAACCAAAUCACGUGGAGCCGCAAUGAUCCACAAAAGUUCACGGUGACCGCAGUCAACCAAAUCACGUGAAGCCACACCGGCCCACAAGGUUCACGGGAGACCGCAGUCAACCCAAAUAACUCCCUCGCGUGCAAGGUACCAUCGUUCUCAUGGACCAUAGUCUACCUGACCUAUGUCCAAAUUAUUCACAUUUACUUGCAAGCGAGUUUAUUACACUUUUCUCUUUGUUAAGUCUCUAAAGUCAAUCCUAGAGUCUUAUCAUACUCUUUAUACAACAACCUUCACAACACAACAUUCACAGGUUACAAGGGAAUUACGGCUAGGUGAGCGACCCUUGAACCAUUAACUGAGAAAAUAAAUAUAAUCCACGUAAAGGAACGCAAGAACAUUCACUCAUGCAUAAUAUAUCAUCGCAACUUCAACAUAUUGACAGCAGAAACAACUUUCACAAAAAUAGAGCCACAGAAUGCAUCUUUCAACCAAAAAUCACGUAUGAUACCUUUCUAGAAAGCUAUUUUAAAUAUCUACAACUCUCUCAUUACGCACUUGUUCAUUUGAGUCCCAGAAUUAGGUGAGAUUAGGACUUAAAGCUAACUGUCCGGAACAGGAAAAACAGCAGGUGUGACAGUUACUAAACACGACCCCCAGAUCACAUUACUAAACCAAAAAUUAUGCUUUUUAUAUGUCUGGAAAGAUAUUUCGAAAAUCUACAACUUUCAUUUUAAUCACUUUUUCAUUUGAUGACCAUAAACAGGUAAAAAGGGGCUCUGAAGUCCGCUGUCCAGUACAGGAAAUUGGCAGCGAAACUCCCAUGGCUCUAUGGUUUUCAAAAAUAAUUUUCCUUCCUUCCCCUUUGAUCAUGGCAAUCUUGGUACAGCCCCAACAACCCAAAUAUCCACUCAAAAUUUCAGAACCAAACAUUUAGCCAGGAUCAUGUUAUAACAAGUGCAAAAUAGCACAAAACUUAACAAAUACCAUGGCAACUCGCAUAAAAUCAUAGAUUCAGAUCAUAAACAACGUUUGAGGAUCAUAUUCAUGGCUUUUCAAGAGAAAAAUUCCAGCAAGCAAGCAUGUACAGGAAAUCAUGCAAAAACAGUCCAAAACUCAAGUUGUUUCUCAUGGCAAUUCAUGGCAUAUUCCCUAAAGAACCUACCCAUUCCUAGAACCAGCCCUUACCUCGGGUUUUGAAUGAAUUUAGAUGAAAAGAAGUAGGAUUUUGAUGGAGAGAAGUGAAGAAUAGAAAGAGCUUCCUCUGCUGUCCAAAAUUCUCCUUCCUCCACGUACUUCCUCUCCUUCUCGCGUUUCCUCUCCUUCCUUGCGGUUUUUCUCUCUUUCUCGUGUCUCCUCCUCCUUCUUGGUGGGCGAUGGUUGCUGGUGGUGCAAGGGUGACGAGUGGAGGCCUCUUAGGAGCAAGGGGAAGGGUGCUGGUUUGCUUGUUUGGUUGGUGUUUACGUGAAAUAUUUUCUGGUGCUGUUUUGCAUGUAAGAAAAUAAGGAUUUCACUCUAAUCCUUGCCUAUAGGUGGCGGCCAGGGCUUGUGUGGGCUAGGGUUCUGGUUUCAGAUCUGAUACAGCCCAAGAAAAGAGUAUUAAUGACUCAUUAAAGCUCAUAAUUCAGAGGAAAAACCAGCUGCAGCCCCCUUCCUUUUCCAUGGGCAGCCGGCGGCUCACCAAGCCUCAGGGUUUUCAAAACCCUUGCUUCUUUCCUUGGAUCAGCCUUCCUUGGCCCAUAAUGCUCCACUCAGCCUAAGAACCUUCUGAUUAUGAGUUUAAUCCACCACUUAACCCAAAUUAAAAAGGUUUAAGCCCAAAACACAAACCCAACUUUUAAUAAAAUUUCGUAGGUACUGUACAGCCCGACCUUUGCUCAUUAAAACAGGGAUAUCUGGAGCUACAGAUAUCGGAUUUACACGAAACCACAUCGAGAAUUUUCUUAACUUAAAGGGCUACAACUCUCAUGAAGGAAGUCUUCCCAAAGAAGUCGUUAAGACCCUCUAAAAAUUCGCACAAGUUGACAGUUCUAAUCUGCCAGUUAUCAAACAUUAGCUAAAACUUCAAUUUUAUUCAAACUUCCAUAAAAUUGUUCCAAAUUGAACUUAGGGCCUUACACAUAGUUUUAUAGGGACCUUUCAUGCAUUUUGAGUAAGUUUAGGACUUGCAUAUCUUUUCUACUUGAAUUGAGGGUCUUUUGUGCUAAUAAACUCUUGGAAAUCCUAGAUAUUUUCCUUGCUUUGUUCUCAAGCAGCUAGGUCUGAAAACUGAUGAAGAAAGAAGGUCAAAAGGCUUGGAAAAUUGAAGGUAGGCUUAAAGGGGAGUUAAGAAGAAAGUCAAGAGGCUUUCUAGCAUGUAGAGAGCGCUCAGGCGCUCGUGUUGAGCGCUUGAGCGCCAAUUGAUUCGAUGUUUACAUGAUGCUAGAAAGGAAUUGGCGCCUGAGCGCUCCUGAUUGAGCGCCUGAGCGCCAAUUACCUCCAGAGAGCUUGUUUUGGCUUGGAAUUGGCGCUCAGGCGUGCUUAAUUGGCGCCUGAGCGCCCAGACUCGACCUGUUUGCCUAUAAAUAGGCUUUAUGUCAUUUCUUUUGUAACUUUUGUCAUUUCUAUACAUUCCUAAAUAAGUUAGAAGUAGGGUUAGGCUCUGGAGCUUGAGGAGAAGCAUUCUCCAAGUCCAUGUUCCAGGUUUUAUCCUUCUUUUCUUGUAUGGAUUCUAUAGCCAUGCUUGGCUAAA